ACCAUGAAGAGUUUGAUCCUGGCUCAGGAUUAACGCUAGCGACAGGCCUAACACAUACAAUUCGAGGGGUAACAGGGAGCUUGCUCCGCUGACGACCGGCGCACGGGUGAGUAACGCGUAUGCAACCUGCCCGCGGGAUCGGGAUAGCCCCCCGAAAGGGGGAUUAACACCGGAUGCGGCUGUUUGGGGGCAUCCCCGGAUAGCCAAAUGCGAAGCUCGCGGAUGGGCAUGCGUCCGAUUAGCUAGUUGGGGGGGUAACGGCCCACCAAGGCGACGAUCGGUAGGGGUCCUGAGAGGGAGGUCCCCCACACUGGUACUGAGAGACGGACCAGACUCCUACGUGAGGCAGCAGUGAGGAAU
Molecule: ribosomal RNA, 360 nt
Filed under: Bacteroidales bacterium
Lineage: Bacteria; Pseudomonadati; Bacteroidota; Bacteroidia; Bacteroidales
Description: partial 16S ribosomal RNA
Rfam family: Bacterial small subunit ribosomal RNA
Source: RNAcentral